Molecule: ribosomal RNA, 496 nt
Filed under: uncultured bacterium
Lineage: Bacteria
Description: partial 16S ribosomal RNA
Rfam family: Bacterial small subunit ribosomal RNA
Source: RNAcentral
AUGAACGCUGGCGGCGUGCCUAAUACAUGCCAGUCGCGCGAACAGACGAGGAGCUUGCUCCUCUGACGUUAGCGGCGGACGGGUGAGUAACACGUGGAUAACCUACCUAUAAGACUGGGAUAACUUCGGGAAACCGGAGCUAAUACCGGAUAAUAUAUUGAACCGCAUGGUUCAAUAGUGAAAGACGGUUUUGCUGACACUUAUAGAUGGAUCCGCGCCGCAUUAGCUAGUUGGUAAGGUAACGGCUUACCAAGGCGACGAUGCGUAGCCGACCUGAGAGGGUGAUCGGCCACACUGGAACUGAGACACGGUCCAGACUCCUACGGGAGGCAGCAGUAGGGAAUCUUCCGCAAUGGGCGAAAGCCUGACGGAGCAACGCCGCGUGAGUGAUGAAGGUCUUCGGAUCGUAAAACUCUGUUAUUAGGGAAGAACAAAUGUGUAAGUAACUAUGCACGUCUUGACGGUACCUAAUCAGAAAGCCACGGCUAACUACGUG